GAGUCCGUCCCUCUGAAGCUCCUCUGUGUGGGGAACAUGACAGCAGGACCAAAGCUCAGAGGACCCAUCAGAGACCAGGACCUGCACCUGAUCCUCAACCUGGUCCGGUGUCUGGACCUGCACCCAGCUGUGUGUCCAUGAAGAGUAACCGGUCUACGGAUGCUCCU
Molecule: non-coding RNA, 167 nt
Organism: Gasterosteus aculeatus aculeatus (three-spined stickleback)
Lineage: Eukaryota; Metazoa; Chordata; Actinopteri; Perciformes; Gasterosteidae
Source: RefSeq, a predicted model, not a curated record